RNAcentral lists this ribosomal RNA (342 nucleotides) under uncultured soil bacterium. RNAcentral's name for it is "bacterial SSU rRNA". It matches the Rfam family "Bacterial small subunit ribosomal RNA", at positions 26 to 396 of the family's 1533-position model. The record is from RNAcentral.
AGAACGAACGCUGGCGGCAUGCCUAAUACAUGCAAGUCGAACGAACACUUCGGUGUUAGUGGCGCACGGGUGCGUAACGCGUGGGAAUCUGCCCUUGGGUUCGGAAUAACAGUUGGAAACGACUGCUAAUACCGGAUGAUAUCGAAAGAUCAAAGAUUUAUCGCCCAGGGAUGAGCCCGCGUAGGAUUAGCUAGUUGGUGAGGUAAAGGCUCACCAAGGCGACGAUCCUUAGCUGGUCUGAGAGGAUGAUCAGCCACACUGGGACUGAGACACGGCCCAGACUCCUACGGGAGGCAGCAGUAGGGAAUAUUGGACAAUGGGCGCAAGCCUGAUCCAGCAAUG